AACGAACGCUGGCGGCAUGCCUAACACAUGCAAGUCGAACGAGACCUUCGGGUCUAGUGGCGCACGGGUGCGUAACGCGUGGGAACCUGCCCUUAGGUUCGGAAUAACUCCCCGAAAGGGGUGCUAAUACCGGAUAAUGUCUUCGGACCAAAGAUUUAUCGCCUUUGGAUGGGCCCGCGUUGGAUUAGCUAGUUGGUAGGGUAAAAGCCUACCAAGGCGACGAUCCAUAGCUGGUCUGAGAGGAUGAUCAGCCACACUGGGACUGAGACACGGCCCAGACUCCUACGGGAGGCAGCGUUGGGAAAAUUGGAACAUGGGCCGAAGGCUUGUCCCAGCAUGGCCGGUGGAUGGAGGAGGGCUUAGGGUUGUAAAGCUCUUUUACCCGGGAUGAUAAUGACAGUACCGGGAGAAUAAGCUCCGGCUAACUCCGUG
Molecule: ribosomal RNA, 432 nt
Filed under: uncultured bacterium
Lineage: Bacteria
Description: partial 16S ribosomal RNA
Rfam family: Bacterial small subunit ribosomal RNA
Source: RNAcentral